CAGCUGUGACUGACAUUGAUACCAGUGGCAUUCAUGCCCUCGAAGAGUUACACAGAAGUCUUCAAAAGAGAGAUGUUCAGCUUGUUCUAGCAAACCCCGGCCCAGUAGUGAUAAACAAGCUUCACACCUCCAAUUUUGCAAACCUGAUCGGUGAGGACAAGAUCUUCCUCACAGUUGCAGAUGCUGUUUCAUACUGUUCUUCAAGGCUGGCAGAAGAGCCUUGAAAAUUUUGGUUAUGAGAUUGAGAGGUGCAGAUGAAUAUGGUGUUUGUAAAUAGGGUGGAAGUUGUGAACGAUGGAUGCAUCAGCUAACUAGUCAGUAUAAACAGAUGGCAUAUGUGGCUCUGCCUAUUUGGGAUCCUUAAUUGUCCUAUGAAAGGGAAAUACGAAAAUACUGGGAGGUUCUUGUUGUGCACUCCAAUAAGCUUGAAUUUUUUUUGCCCCCCGUUAAUAUCUGCUAAUAUGAUAUGUCCACAGAGCUACUUCCCAGAAUCCCAGUCUGAAGAUUUUUCAUUUCAUGUUGAGGGAACUUCUCGAAAAAUCAGUGGCCUUGCUGUGGCUAUCUGCUGAUGAUGCCAUUGUAUUUCUGAGGCUAUAUCCUUCAGGAAUGAUAACUGCUUGCAUUUAUUAAUGAAGCGUCUGAUUUUUGCCGGGCAAGCUGUGAAUCGUCGUUGUACCCCCAAUCUUCUCUGCAGCUUUCGAAGCGAAAGUUCUGAAUUGUAGAUGCAUGAUUGCGCAGCACGGAAAUGUGUGUGGACGGCUUUGUGUGUGCUGGGCUGCAAAAGAUGUCUGAUUCAAAUUACAAGUAUCCCUCACCUCAUAUUUGAAUAUUGAAAGAAAAGUGACAUCAUUAGCUAACAAUUGGGUGAAAGUUCUUAUCCGUUUCUACUGUUAACUUGUUCAAAGAUGUUGGUCUUAAAGCACAUGGAAAGUGAAUGCAGUUCAGGGUUGGGGUUGUUCCAAGAUUUAUUUAUGUAUUUUCUUGAGAUAAAUUAUCCAGGAUUUACGGUUUCGUGAUCA
Neltuma alba is the source of this 1019-nucleotide long non-coding RNA. RefSeq lists it as uncharacterized. The transcript is spliced from 2 exons. The record is from RefSeq and is a predicted model, not a curated record. NCBI's taxonomy places the organism in Eukaryota, Viridiplantae, Streptophyta, Magnoliopsida, Fabales, Fabaceae.